RNAcentral lists this non-coding RNA (62 nucleotides) under Pan paniscus (pygmy chimpanzee). Lineage: Eukaryota; Metazoa; Chordata; Mammalia; Primates; Hominidae. The record is from RNAcentral.
GUGAGGCCUCCUGCACGUCGUUGUCCUGCUUGUCCUGCGAGGUGUCUUGCAGGCCGUCAUGC